GACAGAGGGUGCAAACGUUGUUCGGAAUUACUGGGCGUAAAGGGCGCGUAGGCGGCGACUCAAGUUAGAUGUGAAAGUCCUGGGCUUAACCUGGGGACUGCAUUUGAUACUGGGUUGCUUGAAUUCGGGAGAGGAUAGCGGAAUUCCCAGUGUAGAGGUGAAAUUCAUAGAUAUUCGGAAGAACACCAGUGGCGAAGGCGACUUACUGGACACAUAUUGACGCUGAGGUGCGAAAGCGUGGGGAGCAAACAGG
RNAcentral lists this ribosomal RNA (253 nucleotides) under uncultured bacterium. RNAcentral's name for it is "partial 16S ribosomal RNA". It matches the Rfam family "Bacterial small subunit ribosomal RNA", at positions 524 to 776 of the family's 1533-position model. The record is from RNAcentral.